UAAAAGCGUUUGAAACAUUAUUGUCCAACAUAUACAUGCUUUUAUUAUACCACCACUUCCCUUGGUAUAUAAAUAUAAAAUUUCUAGCUCGUUCAAGUUAUUUUGUUCUUUAUUCCGUUUGGAAUUAUCACUCAGGGCUUUCAACAAAUCGAAUAACAAUGACAACUCUGAUGGAGCAAGUGUUGGUCCUGGUUGUGGCUUUGAUGACUAUAUUCUUCCUGUCGGUAUCGGCACAGUCAGCAGAUGAUGUAUACAGAUGGAGCGCCGAUGAUUAUAACCAAAACCAAAAUAACAACUGGCAAUGGGGCAACUGAUAUUUCUGUCGAGGAUGAGAAAGAAUUGCAUAUUACAACAAAAAAAAAUCUACACCAAUAUAACAUUAUUAAACUAUUCAUCGAUAUUUUGUGUAUCAUAUUAUAUAUUAUGACAAAAUUAUUCAUUUUUUUAUUUUAAAUGACAAAAAGCCAAAAGAUAUUUCAGAUGGUAGUGGUUCAAUUAAACGUGGCAUUAUGUGAGUUGUUUUAAGUAAAGCAUAAAGAUUUGAAAGAUUUCGUAAAAACAACAAACAGUUGCAAAUACUCAUACCGUACACAGUAACAUAUACAAAAUGUUCUUUUUUGAACUAUUUUUACAAUCAUGCAAUUGUUUGUUCAUAUUUCAUGAAGAUUCAUUGACAGAAAAAAAAAAUGAAUUAAUUUUGGAAACUGUAUAAAAUUCCCUUCAUACUGAAAUUUUGAUUCGUGUUUCGACCUCACAGACAAUACUGGCACAUGGUAUUUGAAAUUUAUUAAUAAAUUAAUAAACAGUUAAAUU
Molecule: long non-coding RNA, 813 nt
Organism: Ruditapes philippinarum (Manila clam)
Lineage: Eukaryota; Metazoa; Mollusca; Bivalvia; Venerida; Veneridae
Exons: 3
Source: RefSeq, a predicted model, not a curated record